This 482-nucleotide ribosomal RNA is filed under the name uncultured bacterium. Its description in RNAcentral is "partial 16S ribosomal RNA". It matches the Rfam family "Bacterial small subunit ribosomal RNA", at positions 30 to 507 of the family's 1533-position model. The record is from RNAcentral.
AUUGAACGCUGGCGGCAUGCUUUACACAUGCAAGUCGAACGGUAACAGGCCGCAAGGUGCUGACGAGUGGCGAACGGGUGAGUAAUGCAUCGGAACGUGCCCAGUCGUGGGGGAUAACUACUCGAAAGAGUAGCUAAUACUGCAUACGAUCUAUGGAUGAAAGCGGGGGACCGUAAGGCCUCGCGCGAUUGGAGCGGCCGAUGUCAGAUUAGGUAGUUGGUGGGGUAAAGGCUCACCAAGCCAACGAUCUGUAGCUGGUCUGAGAGGACGACCAGCCACACUGGGACUGAGACACGGCCCAGACUCCUACGGGAGGCAGCAGUGGGGAAUUUUGGACAAAGGGCGCAAGCCUGAUCCAGCAAUGCCGCGUGCAGGAAGAAGGCCUUCGGGUUGUAAACUGCUUUUGUACGGAACGAAACGGCUCUGGUUAAUACCCGGGGCUAAUGACGGUACCGUAAGAAUAAGCACCGGCUAACUACGUG